Molecule: ribosomal RNA, 253 nt
Filed under: uncultured bacterium
Lineage: Bacteria
Description: partial 16S ribosomal RNA
Rfam family: Bacterial small subunit ribosomal RNA
Source: RNAcentral
UACGAAGGGGGCUAGCGUUGUUCGGAAUUACUGGGCGUAAAGCGCGUGUAGGCGGGUCUUUAAGUCAGGGGUGAAAUCCUGGAGCUCAACUCCAGAACUGCCUUUGAUACUGAAGAUCUUGAGUCCGGGAGAGGUGAGUGGAACUGCGAGUGUAGAGGUGAAAUUCGUAGAUAUUCGCAAGAACACCAGUGGCGAAGGCGGCUCACUGGCCCGGUACUGACGCUGAGGUGCGAAAGCGUGGGGAGCAAACAGG